CUUGGUGGCAAAUUACAUAAAAGAAAAGCAUCCAUUGUUGAGGUUGGUUAUUUCGUGAAGCAUUCAGUUGAUCUUAAGCUUUCAAAAGGAAUAAGCAGUUUGAGAACCCUUCUGUUAGUCAUAUUAGUUAACUGUUGACAUCGCCGAAUACUAAAAAGUAAAAAUCCUAUUUUGUCAUCAUAAUGCAGUUUUUUAGAGUGAGUGGAUCGGAUGCACAGAAGCCUGUUGAGCUUUAUACAAGUACUAGAACAAACAAAAUCACCUUCUGUCAUCUGUCAAAUGGAGUGAAGAAAAAAAUUGUCGCGUUCGCCAAAUAAUUGUUGAAACCCUCACGCCGAGUAAUCACUUAUCACAUACGAAGGACGAUCUUUAAAAAUGAAUGAUCAUAUAUUGAAUCAAAUAUAAAUUAACACUAAAUUGGAAUGAAUAUACUUGAAACAAAA
Molecule: long non-coding RNA, 443 nt
Organism: Malaya genurostris
Lineage: Eukaryota; Metazoa; Arthropoda; Insecta; Diptera; Culicidae
Exons: 2
Source: RefSeq, a predicted model, not a curated record